AAACCAGCACCUCAAGUGGUCAGGAUGAUUAUUGGGCCUAAAGCAUCCGUAGCCGGCUCUGUAAGUUUUCGGUUAAAUCUGUACGCUCAACGUACAGGCUGCCGGGAAUACUGCAGAGCUAGGGAGUGGGAGAGGUAGACGGUACUCGGGAGGAAGUGGUAAAAUGCUUUGAUCUUUCGAUGACCACCUGUGGCGAAGGCGGUCUACCAGAACACGUCCGACGGUGAGGGAUGAAAGCUGGGGGAGCAAACCGGAUUAGAAACCCCAGUAGUCC
RNAcentral lists this ribosomal RNA (274 nucleotides) under uncultured bacterium. RNAcentral's name for it is "partial 16S ribosomal RNA". It matches the Rfam family "Archaeal small subunit ribosomal RNA", at positions 473 to 747 of the family's 1478-position model. The record is from RNAcentral.